UCUCCGUUGGUGAACCAGCGGAGGGAUCAUUACAGAGUUGCAAAACUCCCAAACCAUUGUGAACGUUACCUAUCCCGUUGCUUCGGCGGGCGGCCCGCGCCCCGCCCCCGGCCCCCCCCGGCCCCCCGGGGGCCCCCCACACACGUAAACCAAACCCGUGAAUUUCAUUGCCCCGCUGUGUCUUCUUUAAUAAAUAAAUCAAAACUUUCAACAACUCAGGUCUUGGUUCUGGCAUCGGUGGAGAACGCAGCAAAACGGAAGAACACCCGUCUGAAUACC
RNAcentral lists this unclassified non-coding RNA (279 nucleotides) under plant metagenome. RNAcentral's name for it is "partial contains small subunit ribosomal RNA, internal transcribed spacer 1, and 5.8S ribosomal RNA". The record is from RNAcentral.